This 225-nucleotide ribosomal RNA is filed under the name Triatoma infestans. Its description in RNAcentral is "partial 18S ribosomal RNA". It matches the Rfam family "Eukaryotic small subunit ribosomal RNA", at positions 1635 to 1815 of the family's 1831-position model. The record is from RNAcentral. Lineage: Eukaryota; Metazoa; Arthropoda; Insecta; Hemiptera; Reduviidae.
AAGUAAGCGCGAGUCAAUAAGCUCGUCGUUGUAUUACCGUCCUCGUCCCUUUGUACACACCCGCCCGUCGCUACUACCGUAUUAGAAUGUAUUUUAGUGGAGGUUCGUUCGGACGUGGGUACGGUUUAAUUUCCUUUUAACCUAACUUUUGGUUUGGUUAUUGAUGUACGCGUAGGAAAGAUCGAACCUAAACUUGAUCUAUUUAGAGGAAGUAAAAGUCGUAAC